This 1778-nucleotide long non-coding RNA is filed under the name Struthio camelus australis. Its description in RNAcentral is "lncRNA (ENSSCUG00000005349.1)". The record is from RNAcentral. Lineage: Eukaryota; Metazoa; Chordata; Aves; Struthioniformes; Struthionidae.
CAGUAAGGUACAUAAAGCACGCAAGACAGACAAAAUAGCUCAAGAGACUCUGUUAGACCACAAGAUGCCAUCUUGAGGAGAGACAAGUAAACUGUUAGAUCACUGCUAGGGCUAUAAAAGCAGAGCUGGGCUUGGGUAGGCUGGUGUCAGGCUAGCAGGGCUGUGAGGGGUUGGCUGGCUCAUAAGACACUACACCCAUGGGAGACUGGAUUGCAGAGACACCAGCCUGGGACAAGGGAGAGGGGCAUUUGUACAAAGAUGGGGUCAUAAAUUACACUGCUUUUCAUCUCCACACCUAUCUUUAGACCAGAGCACGGAUAGCUCCCCUGUGCCCAUGGGAUGAUGCAAAGACCUUGAAGAGUCCCUGCUACUCUAAUGAGGAACUAAAGGCGUAGCGUCAUGGACACACUCAACCACUCAGCCCUAAAAGCAUGAGCAGAGUCACGCGUAUACUCAUACACACACACACACACGCCAGGCUGAUCCACGAAAGAAGGUGUUACAUUGCUUUGUAAUGGUAAGUCCCUGGAGAGGAGCAGCCAUUUUUACUAAACAAGGAUAUAUGAAUAGUAAAUAUAAAUGUCUUGGUUCAAAGAAACCCACAGAUUUGCAACAGGAAAAAUACAGCAGCCUCCAGAGGGGGAGAGACCGUUUGAGGGCUAACGAACCUUCUCCUUGAAGAACAGCAGUGACUCAGCUCUACAAGCCAAGAAAAGCAACUACACAAAAAUGAGCAUUUUGUCCACACAGAAAAGCCUCAGCAUGGAGGGUGCAGGAGGCAGCUGUGGCUCAUCUCCAGCCUCUGCAAGGAGCAUGAAAAAGAGAAGCCAAGCAGACAGCUGUGACUUCCAGCCGUAGUGAUGGGUCAGCCUUCACUGCCACAACAUCAACCCUCUUCCGGCCACCCUGGAACCAUCCCUGGAGCCCUCUGUGCCUCUUGGAUCAUCAUUCCCAGCAGACAGAGCAGCCCCACGCCUCAGCGCCUGGCAGGCUCUCAAACAGCAGAGGCUCCCCGUUUGGCAGCAUCGAUUUCCCUUGCGAGGGUGAAGUGUGGAUGGGGAAUAUCUUCCCCACGGGCCCGGCCACGCUGGAGGACUUGGGGGAAGGCGGUAGAGGCCGAUCGGCGCCCUGUUAGGUGCUGCCCAACCCGAAAGAGCCUGGCUUUCCUUCCAGCCCGGCUCUCGCUGCGCCCAUGCCGGGACCCAGCAGCCUCCAAAGCUCAGCCAGCUCCUCGGUGCCUGCUGCUACCAACGAGCCUGAGCAACCCCUGCCCUUUUCCUAACCCUCUUCCUACGCCCUUCGCGCCUUGGCAAGCAUCUAGCGUAUCCCCCUUCGGCUUUCCUUCUCUCCCCUCCCAGCCUCUGCUCAGCCCGAAUCCGUGCCUGCACACUCCCUGCCUGCUUCCCACAGACUUACCAGAACCCAAACACUCCCCCCAUGCUCCUAGGAGUUAAAAAAAAAAGGAGUCCCUCUGAAAAGCCAAAAAAGUACAUUUCUCCCCCACGCUCAGCCAGCAGGCUGCAGCCCCUGACUGCCUGAAAACUUUCUGCUUUUCAAACAGCUCUGCAAAAGGGAAAAGACCUGAGUGCAGCAUCUUGGCUCGCCGACUUACCUGCACGCUCCGACUCUUGGCAUCCACCUCUUGUGGGUGCAGGAGCGGAGGGGCGGCCAGGCCCAGCUCCCGGCUGUUCAAAUCCCCCAGACCACCCGGACCCCAGCACGUCUUCGGCACCUUGCGCUUGCACACCGGCGGCCGCUUGCGUUUCUCCCGCAACGCG